AUUUCUCCCUCUUUUAACUUUAUCGACGAAGGCGUUCAGUACAAACAAUUUAAAGACCACAAAGGCAAGAUAACCAUAGCCAAAUAAAAAAGACCACAGUACAAGAAAAACCACAUCUUCAUUUCCACAGACAAAUAAAAAAAGACCCAGAGAGUUCAAACAAUUCAAAGACUACAAAGGCAAGAUACAACAGUUAGGCUCCUAAUGAAUGAUUAACAAUCCCCUGAAGGGAAGGUCUAAAAUGCAAAUUUUCUUGUGUUAAGCAACUAGUUUCACAGGAUACUUAUCUAUACAGUCUUCCCAAGGACCAUUACGAGAUUGUUUCACAUUCCGGAGUGCCUCCCACACUGCACUGUUACAUUUGAAGCCACUUCCGAAUGCAAUCUGCCACACACGGUUACCCUUGCGCAUCCUUCUUUUGGCCUCAACAUAGGCCAACUCGUACCAAAUCGAACUUGAUGAAGUAUUCCCAAAACGGUGGAGUGUCAUCCUAGAUGCCUCCACAUGUACAGGCAGGAGCUGCAAAUUCUUCUCUAGCUCAUCAAUCACAGCCCUCCCUCCAGCAUGUAUACAAAAAUGAUCAAAUGCCAGCUUGAAAUCUGGAAUAUAAGGCUUCAUUUUCUUGUUGAACAACUUCUUAACCACCAGAGUUGCAAAGAACAAAAGUUGCUCACUAAUUGGAAGCACCAGAGGACCCAGCGUAGUAAUGUUCGCUUUUAAAGCCUCACCAGCAAUUGCCAUCAAAUCUUUUGACAAUGAAACACCAGUCUUCCCUGCAUCGUCCUGUUCUUGAUACACACACCGAAACGCCUUAUCAUCUGCCCCGCGAUGAGUCCUCACAACAUGAACAAGCUUGUACUUAGCCCGCUUUUUAUCACCAGAUCUAUUAGAAAGCAAAACCGCAGAACCCCCAACUCGAAACAAACAAUUGGGUAUCAACAUAGACUUCUUAUUUCCAAAAUACCAAUUCUGGGUAAUAUUCUCGGUACUGACAACAACUGCAUAAGUAUUCCGAUGAACUUGCAACAAAUCUUUAGCGAGAUCCACCGCAAUAACUCCAGCACUACAAC
RNAcentral lists this unclassified non-coding RNA (1070 nucleotides) under Hevea brasiliensis (rubber tree). The record is from RNAcentral. Lineage: Eukaryota; Viridiplantae; Streptophyta; Magnoliopsida; Malpighiales; Euphorbiaceae.